UGAGGUGUGGCUUAGUGGUAAAGCACGUGCCUAGCAAGCAUGAGGCCCUGGGUUCAAACCCUAGCACAUGAA
This 72-nucleotide transfer RNA is filed under the name Fukomys damarensis (Damara mole-rat). It matches the Rfam family "tRNA". From Rfam's summary of the family: Transfer RNA (tRNA) molecules are approximately 80 nucleotides in length. The record is from Rfam by way of RNAcentral. Lineage: Eukaryota; Metazoa; Chordata; Mammalia; Rodentia; Bathyergidae.